RNA transcript from Odontomachus brunneus, 4455 nucleotides. It is a transcript of the gene named U3 small nucleolar RNA-associated protein 6 homolog, with no coding region annotated. The transcript has 11 exons. The record is from RefSeq and is a predicted model, not a curated record. Lineage: Eukaryota; Metazoa; Arthropoda; Insecta; Hymenoptera; Formicidae.
CUAAAUUGAGUCUGCUUAAUGCGGCCAUCGCAAGUGCGAUGGACCAACUGAUCGGUUUGAUACAGACUUUAUUCGAGGCUUUCUAGUAGUCAGCAGCAUACAUAUAUAUAUGUGUGUAUCACGCAUUGCCUGCACCUUACUACGGAGGCACGAACAAAGAUAGAGAACAGUGCUAGUUUACGAGGAAACUUAAAAAAUGGCGGAGAAGCGUUCUGAGGAUACGAUUCCCGAGCUAGAACAAAUGGAAAGAAUCAAACUCUUUGAUAAAAAUGAGAUUCGGGCUAUUGCCAAGAAACUGAACGAAUUUGAAUACAAAAUUCGUCACUCAAAGUGCAAAGAAGCCUAUGUGGAAUAUAUACAUUAUGAGAUGGAUCUCCUGAAAUUAAUUAAACAGCGAAGGGAUAAAUACGGCAUCACUCAAAAGAAGUUAGAUAUUGAUUUUGCUAUAGCGAAUAAAAUGAAUAACUUAUAUAAAGAUGCAAUAUCAAAAUUUCAAGAUAUUAGAUUUUGGAUUGCCUAUAUAAAAUUUUGCAAACAUGUACAUUUUCACAGCAAUAUCAGUAAUAUGAUAGGCAGAAUGUUACAAGUACAUAGGGAUGAGCCGAAAUGCUGGCAGAUAGCAGCUUGUUGGGAGCUGGAGGAGAACAACAACAAGCAGAAUGCACGGCAGUGUCUUCUCAGAGGUUUACUCAUUCAUCCAGAUUCGCAAUUGCUGUAUAUUGAAGCUUUUAAACUUGAGUUAAAUGAUUAUGUAUCUGUGUCUAACAACACAGAAAAUGCUGAGAACCAGGAGGAUAAUUCAGCAUCCACAGUGGACGAUAACGAGAUGCCAUUGCCAUUGAAGAGGGCAUAUGUAAUAUAUCAGCAGGCUAUUGAACGUGUUAACGACAUCAAAUUCAUAAUUGAACUUCUUAAAAUCACUGAAAAGUAUGACAACACCGAGAAAUUACAAAAGAAAAUUAUUAGUGAUAUGAUUCGAGAGUAUGCUCACGAAGCUUUAAUGUGGGACAAAAUGGCGGACCGCGAGUUACAGGGUCUGGUGCAGCCUGGUGUCACCAACACACCAAUGGAGCUGGACAAUUCUGAACAGGCCUCGUUGAGGGAUCGUAUCACUUCUUGCAAUAAAGUUUACCAAACGGCCGUGAAAAAAAUUAAGACUGAGGAGAUGUGGUCGCUUUAUAUAAAACGUUUACUGGAUAUCAAUAAAGAUUUACAAUCAUUGCCUAAUUUCAAGAGGAAACUGCUAAGGACCGCUUUAGCGCAGGCUCAUCAGGCGAAGAAGCUGAAGGAGGAAUAUUAUUCAGAUUGGAUCAAAAUGCUAAGCGCCGAAACGGGCGAUGAGAACGCGCAGAAGAGACUGAAUCAAGUUCUAUGCGGAGCGACUGACGCGGUGCCAAGCAGCGUGAGUCUUUGGCAAGAGCGAAUGAGACAUUUGUUGCUCUCGGGACAAGAGAAAGAAGCGGCCGCGAUAUAUCCAAAGGCGACAGAAAUAUUAGGGGAGAAAGCUCUACCUCUGUGGAGAAUGCGGAUUCUGCAUGUGCAAACGAAGAACUCGGAGAGAACCGAGGAAGCAUUCCAAGCCGCUUUGCAAGCGCAUCCACUCAUCGCCCGAGAUAUAAAGCCUACUUAUAUCGAGUGGCUUGUCUUAACAAAAAGCAUUCGCGCGGCUCGCAAAGCAUACGACAGCUUGUGCUUGCAGUCGCCCUUCUCGCUCAAAUUUCACAAAAAAAUGGCGUCACUUGAAAUCAUGCAGCCGGAUGUUUCGUUGAAGCAUGCGCGACGGCCUCACGAGUUGGCGACGCAUCAGUUUGGCAACCACGACAAGUCUGUCUGGAUGGACUAUAUCAAGUUCGAGAUGAAGUACGGCGAUCCGAAGAAAGUUUGCGAGAUACACGCAAGAGCGCUAAAAAACCUGGAACGCAAUCUCACGUAUUCUUUCAUCGGGGAUUACGAUCGAAUUAUCUCCAAUCCUGAUUCUAUGAACAGUUAAUCGUGAACCGUGUUUAUUGUGCGCAAUGUGCAUUACCGCAUGCUGGUACGUGGCAUGUUAUACUGAAGACGGAAACGUGACAUGAUAUGCCGAAACGAGGUGAGAAACGAGAGCAAUAAUCGACUGCAUGUGGAAAAUUAAAACGCGAGGACGAUCCUUAUAAUUAUCUUAAUGAGUGCAUUACUUUGGAUUGUCGCGCGCUGGACUUAAGAUUCCAGUGGCAGCUCUUUUUCCAUGCGCGUUAACACGAUGUUACGGUCGGUUUCGUUAGACAAACGCGCCCUGUCGCCUGUCUUCAGUAUUGACCUCGAGUCCAAGCACAUGAUGUCGAUGUUCAUGGAGUGCUGUUUGUCGUCCAGAUCAUGAUCGAUACGCGUAAGCAAAGAUUCCAGGCUGUUGUAGCUCGUUCUGGAAAAAAACAAAUUUACUGUCAAGUUCAUUAAUUUGAAGUGAAAGGCUUGUAUCAACAGCGUUAAUUGAAACUUGUCUCAUGUGAAACACUCGGACUUAUAUUCAGAGUUAGACUCAAGUUUUCAAGUUAAAUCGUGUAAUAUACGCGACGUUAUAUUUGUAAGCGCGAUUCAGCUAAAAAACUCAUAUCUAACUCUAACCCUAGUAGCACAGUUUAUUGAGGGAAUAUUGGCUAUAAAUUGGAUCCCAAUAUAUUCAAUAUUGGCCCAGUAUUGUAAAGUGGACGUCUUGUAUUUUAUAGCCAAUGUAGAAUUCCGAAUAUUAAUAAUUCGUUUGUUAUUAAUACUGGCUACAUAUGUUGGCUCAAUGUAUGCCAAUGUAACCAAUGCAAAUGAACUGUACUAUUAGGGGAAGGAGAAGGUACAUUCAAAUUUGAAAAUUUUAUUUAGAACAAGUUUCAAAUAUAAUUAUUAGUGCAGGCACGCUCGAGAAUAUACCUACGCUAAAAAAAAUAUCUAGAGUUUAUCACUGAAUUUCUAUCUUUUUGCCACGAGAUGUCGAUCAUGUAUGUUUUCUCCUAGUAUGAACUCGUGAAAAGUGAAAAGUUUCACGUGAACUCAAUCUUAUUAAUCGUGCAAUUUAUUCUCGUAUUAUGAGAUCAUGAAGAGUGAAUAAUUUUACAAUAUUUGAAGGCGAUUAUGUAUCUUUCUUUCCAAUGUAAACUUGUGAAAAGUGAACAUUUUUAUAUGUUUUUAAGGUUAAAUUUUUCACGAAUUCAUGCUAGAGGAAAGAUUCAUGAUCGAGUUCAAGUUUUCAAGGCUUGAAAAUGUUUACAUGACUUUUACUUGUCACAUUUCCAUUCUAGAAAAAAAUUAUGGGAUUGCUGCUCUGAAACUUGUCUCAUGUGAGAUGUUUACAUUUUUACUCAGAAUUAGGUCGAAAUUUUUCAGUUGCAUUGUGAUAUAUGUAACAUUUAUAUUUCUCUGCAUCUGUAAACGCAAUUUAGCUGAAAAAUUUGCAACUAAUUCUAAAUUCAAAUUUGAGAAUCUUACUUGAAACAAGUUUCAAGUAAUGAUUAUUAAUACAGAUCUUAGGUUCGUAUUAAGAGUUGUCACCUAAAAACUUGUCUCAUAUGAAAUAGAGGAGACUGAAGCUAAUUUUAAUUAGGAUAAAUUAUAACAAUGCUUCUAUUUCAUAAAGAAACAGAAAUAGAACUCAUGACGAGAAUUUUUUGUCUUUAAAGCAUUAUUCUAUUUUUGUUCCUUUAUGAAAUAGAAGCAUAAUUAUUAUUUGUCCUUGUUAACAGUAGUCCCGGUUUCCCUUACUCGCAUUUUCAUCCAGGAUUAAGUUCAAUUUUUUUAGUUGUUAUGAUAUAUGUGACAUUUAUAUUUGUAAUAACAAUUUAACUAAAAAGUUCUUAUCUAAUUUUGAAUUUAAAUCUAAAUAUUUUAUUUGAGACCCAAAUUUAAAUUUGAAUAUUUUACUCGAGUUUUAGGUGAUAAUUAUUAAUACGGGUCUUAAGACGUGCGACUAAGUAGUAGAUGAAUAGUACGACAAAAGAAUUAUCAUUGCGACGUUCUUUCGUACUUUGCACUCUCGAUAGCUCCAUUCAAGUUUUCCUUGGUCUGUUUCAAUUGCAGAACCUCACUCCACAAACCAGUUUCAACAUCAUCCUUACAGAGCUCGUAUCCGGGUCGAUAAGCGCGAUUUUCUAAACGCGUCUGUGCACACUUCACCACGUCUAUUUUGCUCGUCAACGCCCCUUCCAGCCGAGUUAUUUCCUUCUUCAACACCUCCAUUUCCUUCUGCACCUAUCCAGAUCGAGGAACAUAGACUCUCUCCAACAGCACAAAUCUUCCAAGGACAUCCUAAAGAUGUUCAGGGGACAUUCUAGUGUUCUAAAAACGUCCAUAGGAUAUCCAUAGAAUAUCGUGUGUUAUCUAGGUCUGACGAUAAAAUACGAGCUGAAUGCGGACGCAGAUGGUUAUGGUUUUGGUAUGGGAUUUUGAUCAAACCGCUGCCAAUCUGCGCGUAUUUUGCUAUUAAUUUGCUUA